GACGAACGCUGGCGGCGUGCCUAACACAUGCAAGUCGAACGGAAAGGCCCUGCUUUUGUGGGGUGCUCGAGUUGCGAACGGGUGAGUAACACGUGAGUAACCUGCCCUUCACUUUGGGAUAACCUCAGGAAACUGGGGCUAAUACCGGAUAGGAGCUCCUGCUGCAUGGUGGGCGUUGGUAAGUUUCGGCGGUUGGGGAUGGACUCGCGGCCUAUCAGCUUGUUGGUGGGGUAGUGGCAUACCAAGGCUUUGACGGGUAGCCGGCCUGAGAGGGUGACCUGCCACAUUACGACUGAGAUACGACACAGACUCCUACGGGAGGCAGCAGUGGAGAAUAUUGCACAAUGGGCGGGAGCCUGAUGCGGCAACGCCGCGUGCGGGAUGACGGCCUUCGGGUUGUAAACCGCUUUCGCCUGUGACGAAGCGUGAGUGACGGUAAUGGGUAAAGAAGCACCGGCUAACUACGUG
RNAcentral lists this ribosomal RNA (468 nucleotides) under uncultured bacterium. RNAcentral describes it as "partial 16S ribosomal RNA". It matches the Rfam family "Bacterial small subunit ribosomal RNA", at positions 28 to 507 of the family's 1533-position model. The record is from RNAcentral.